AGGUAAGUUAUUAUUUUUUGUUGAUAAAUGUUAUUAUUUAUGUUACUGUAGAUGUUUUUUUAUUAGGUUGGUUGAUUUUUUUCUGGAGGUAUGUUAUUGUUUUAUUAUGGUAACGUCGCAGUGUGAAAAGUAUGCAUCGCACGCUCAUGGAUGAUAAACAGAGUCGACACUGAACUUUAUUUAUUCAAAAAAAGAAAAAGGAAAAAAUCGAUAAAACCCUUAAAAGAUCACAAAGAUACGGUCGUCGUAACCAAAUUAGACUUGAGAAUCGAUUAUGCAAGGGAAAGGUAUUAGCAC
This 297-nucleotide long non-coding RNA is filed under the name Lathyrus oleraceus (garden pea). RNAcentral describes it as "Pisum sativum (pea) long non-coding RNA (PSAT_LNC036463)". Lineage: Eukaryota; Viridiplantae; Streptophyta; Magnoliopsida; Fabales; Fabaceae. The record is from RNAcentral.